CAAGUGGCAUUUAAGAGCAUGGAGAGCAAAGGAAGACGCUUCUCCAGAAAAAAAGCAGAAUCCCUACAGACCGGGAGAGUCGGAGUGACGCUGGGAGGAGAGUCGGUUUGUAUUCAGAAACUGUCAGCAAACCUUCGAACCUAAGACCUCAGAUACACUGAAGUGCAAGGGCUCUUUGGCGGGAAGCUGGAUCAAAGAUGGAGUAGCUGGGACUUGAACUAUCAGUCCAAUAUGGAAAGGCAGCAUCUUAACCCAUUACACAACAAAGCCACUCCUUUUUAUGUACAAAUGUGAGUAUGAAGAACUUGAGAGGUGGCUGUUGGGGGGCAGCAGAUAAGGUGUCACUUGGAAGGUCCUUAUCCUACAUCAGAGUGCCUCGGUUUGAGUUCCAAUUCUGUUUCUGAUUCCAGCUUUUUGCUGCUGUGCACCUGGGGAGGCAGCAGGUAACGGCUCAACUGACCGGGUUCCUGACACCCAUGUGGGAGACCUGGAUUAAAUUCCUGGCUUCCAACUUCA
This is a long non-coding RNA of Ochotona princeps (American pika), 516 nucleotides long. RefSeq lists it as uncharacterized. The record is from RefSeq and is a predicted model, not a curated record. The transcript is spliced from 2 exons. Lineage: Eukaryota; Metazoa; Chordata; Mammalia; Lagomorpha; Ochotonidae.